AACCCAGUGCAAUUCGUUGCACUAUCGUUAACUGAAUACAUAGGUUAACGAGGCGAACCGGGGGAACUGAAACAUCUAAGUACCCCGAGGAAAAGAAAUCAACCGAGAUUCCCCCAGUAGCGGCGAGCGAACGGGGAGCAGCCCAGAGUCUGAAUCAGCUUGUGUGUUAGUGGAACGGUCUGGAAAGUCCGACGGUACAGGGUGAUAGUCCCGUACACCAAAAUGCACAGGUUGUGAACUCGAAGAGUAGGGCGGGACACGUGGUAUCCUGUCUGAAUAUGGGGGGACCAUCCUCCAAGGCUAAAUACUCCUGACUGACCGAUAGUGAACCAGUACCGUGAGGGAAAGGCGAAAAGAACCCCGGCGAGGGGAGUGAAAAAGAACCUGAAACCGUGUACGUACAAGCAGUGGGAGCACCUUCGGGUGUGACUGCGUACCUUUUGUAUAAUGGGUCAGCGACUUAUAUUCUGUAGCAAGGUUAACCGUAUAGGGGAGCCGCAGGGAAACCGAGUCUUAACUGGGCGUUAAGUUGCAGGGUAUAGACCCGAAACCCGGUGAUCUAGCCAUGGGCAGGUUGAAGGUUGGGUAACACUAACUGGAGGACCGAACCGACUAAUGUUGAAAAAUUAGCGGAUGACUUGUGGCUGGGGGUGAAAGGCCAAUCAAACCGGGAGAUAGCUGGUUCUCCCCGAAAGCUAUUUAGGUAGCGCCUCGUGAACUCAUCUUCGGGGGUAGAGCACUGUUUCGGCUAGGGGGUCAUCCCGACUUACCAACCCGAUGCAAACUACGAAUACCGAAGAAUGUUAUCACGGGAGACACACGGCGGGUGCUAACGUCCGUCGUGAAGAGGGAAACAACCCAGACCGCCAGCUAAGGUCCCAAAGUCAUGGUUAAGUGGGAAACGAUGUGGGAAGGCACAGACAGCCAGGAUGUUGGCUUAGAAGCAGCCAUCAUUUAAAGAAAGCGUAAUAGCUCACUGGUCGAGUCGGCCUGCGCGGAAGAUGUAACGGGGCUAAACCAUG
Molecule: ribosomal RNA, 1022 nt
Filed under: Klebsiella variicola
Lineage: Bacteria; Pseudomonadati; Pseudomonadota; Gammaproteobacteria; Enterobacterales; Enterobacteriaceae
Description: partial 23S ribosomal RNA
Rfam family: Bacterial large subunit ribosomal RNA
Source: RNAcentral